GACUCCCUGUAGUUAUCGACAGCCGGUUAUGUCCUUGAGCCGAUAAUACCAGUUUGGAAGGGGCCCGCUUUGGUUCUGUGCAUGUCCGCUUGACGGAAAGCCUUCUAUCAGACAGCCGCUUCCCCCUUGAACCUUCGGGUUCAGGGCCUCUACCGGAAACGCAACUGUGGGGAGUCC
Molecule: non-coding RNA, 177 nt
Filed under: Oceanospirillaceae bacterium
Lineage: Bacteria; Pseudomonadati; Pseudomonadota; Gammaproteobacteria; Oceanospirillales; Oceanospirillaceae
Description: 6S RNA
Rfam family: 6S / SsrS RNA
About the family: E. coli 6S RNA was the first non coding RNA to be sequenced, but its function was unknown until recently. It consists of 184 nucleotides that fold into an extended hairpin structure with a large single-stranded internal bulge. The 6S RNA specifically associates with RNA polymerase holoenzyme containing the sigma70 specificity factor.
Source: RNAcentral